Molecule: ribosomal RNA, 548 nt
Filed under: uncultured Glomeromycotina
Lineage: Eukaryota; Fungi; Glomeromycota
Description: SSU rRNA
Rfam family: Eukaryotic small subunit ribosomal RNA
Source: RNAcentral
UUGGAGGGCAAGUCUGGUGCCAGCAGCCGCGGUAAUUCCAGCUCCAAUAGCGUAUAUUAAAGUUGUUGCAGUUAAAAAGCUCGUAGUUGAAUUUCGGGAUCAGAUUGUCGGUCGUGCCUCGGUACGCACUGGUAUUAUUGGUUCCUACCUUCUGAAGAACCGCGAUGUCAUUAAUUUGGUGUCGUGGGGAAUCAGGACUGUUACUUUGAAAAAAUUAGAGUGUUUAAAGCAGGCUUACGCUUGAAUACAUUAGCAUGGAAUAAUGAAAUAGGACGUUUGAUUCUAUUUUGUUGGUUUCUAGGAUUGACGUAAUGAUUAAUAGGGAUAGUUGGGGGCAUUAGUAUUCAAUUGUCAGAGGUGAAAUUCUUGGAUUUAUUGAAGACUAACUACUGCGAAAGCAUUUGCCAAGGAUGUUUUCAUUAAUCAAGAACGAAAGUUAGGGGAUCGAAGGCGAUCAGAUACCGUCGUAGUCUUAACCAUAAACUAUGCCGACUAGGGAUCGGAUGAUGUUAAUUUUUUAAUGACUCAUUCGGCGCCUUACGGGAAAC